UGAAGGGUAUGAUCUUGGCUCAGAACGAACGCUGGCGGCGUGGAUUAGGCAUGCAAGUCGCACGAGGGAGCGUCCCGAAAGGGGCGCAAACCGAGUGGCGUAAGGGUGAGUAAUGCAUUGAUAACCUACCUUUGAGAUGGGAACAACAACGUUCCAAGUAAUUGGGGCUACCGAAAGGGUUGCUAAUUCUCAAUAAAAAUGCUGACACUUUGGUGUCGGCAGUCAAAGAAAUGGAUCUGAAAAGGUCCAUUUGCUCAGAGAGGGGUCAAUGUCCUAUCAGCUAGUUGGUAGGGUAAUGGCCUACCAAGGCGAAGACGGGUAGCCGGCCUGAGAGGGUGGUCGGCCACACUGGGACUGAGACACUGCCCAGACUCCUACGGGAGGCUGCAGUCGAGAAUCUUUCGCAAUGC
This 410-nucleotide ribosomal RNA is filed under the name Candidatus Brocadia sp. RNAcentral describes it as "bacterial SSU rRNA". It matches the Rfam family "Bacterial small subunit ribosomal RNA", at positions 1 to 374 of the family's 1533-position model. The record is from RNAcentral. Lineage: Bacteria; Pseudomonadati; Planctomycetota; Candidatus Brocadiia; Candidatus Brocadiales; Candidatus Brocadiaceae.